GAUGAACGCUGGCGGCGUGCCUAAUACAUGCAAGUCGAGCGAACAGACGAGGAGCUUGCUCCUCUGACGUUAGCGGCGGACGGGUGAGUAACACGUGGAUAACCUACCUAUAAGACUGGGAUAACUUCGGGAAACCGGAGCUAAUCCCGGAUAAUAUAUUGAACCGCAUGGUUCAAUAGUGAAAGACGGUUUUGCUGUCACUUAUAGAUGGAUCCGCGCCGCAUUAGCUAGUUGGUAAGGUAACGGCUUACCAAGGCAACGAUGCGUAGCCGACCUGAGAGGGUGAUCGGCCACCCUGGAACUGAGACACGGUCCAGACUCCUACGGGAGGCAGCAGUAGGGAAUCUUCCGCAAUGGGCGAAAGCCUGACGGAGCAACGCCGCGUGAGUGAUGAAGGUCUUCGGAUCGUAAAACUCUGUUAUUAGGGAAGAACAAAUGUGUAAGUAACUAUGCACGUCUUGACGGUACCUAAUCAGAAAGCCACGGCUAACUACGUG
RNAcentral lists this ribosomal RNA (497 nucleotides) under uncultured bacterium. Its description in RNAcentral is "partial 16S ribosomal RNA". It matches the Rfam family "Bacterial small subunit ribosomal RNA", at positions 28 to 507 of the family's 1533-position model. The record is from RNAcentral.